GCAGCCGGGGUGUUAGCGGUACCUUGUACCUGCAAUCCGCUACAGCAGGGGUGAUAUUACGCAGAGGGCUUUGAUUUGUGGAGCUGCCUUUGGUAAGCGACGUUGAUAACUGGGUCUCACGCGACGGAAAUCUGUGAACCGUGUCAGGUCGGGAACGAAGCAGCACUAAGCAGAACCUUUCGGGUGCCGUGAGGGUGCCUGGUUUGAGUUGGCUGCCAAAGUAACGUCUGG
RNAcentral lists this signal recognition particle RNA (231 nucleotides) under Mediterraneibacter butyricigenes. RNAcentral describes it as "Bacterial large signal recognition particle RNA". It matches the Rfam family "Bacterial large signal recognition particle RNA", at positions 7 to 233 of the family's 256-position model. Rfam says of the family: The signal recognition particle (SRP) is a universally conserved ribonucleoprotein involved in the co-translational targeting of proteins to membranes. Lineage: Bacteria; Bacillati; Bacillota; Clostridia; Lachnospirales; Lachnospiraceae. The record is from RNAcentral.